AUUACGAUCCCCGCCAGCAGCCAGUAGUCGUGUCGGCGAUGCCAGAUCUCAUUCAUCUUCCCCGAGGAGAUGGCAGCCCGCUCCUCGUUCUGCCAGAGAGUGUGCAGCUCUGCGGGUUGAAGCCAGCACAAGCAGAUAAAUGAAAGGAAAGCGGUUCCAGGAAUGGACCGACCUCGAGGUUGCCCCCGACUCUGGCCAGGAGAGGCGGGAGAGGCUUGUCCUUGUCGUUCCUCAGCUGGCGGCGAGACUGCCGUCGACCUGAGCGUGGAAACAGAACCCAGAGAGGAUGCAGCUUCGCAGCAAGACAACAGCGUCUCUCUUCAGAUGAAAAAACCGUCUGGAAAGCUUCAACUCUUUUCUCUGUUGUUUUUGGCAGCAGUUCUGCCUGGAAACUCGGCGGCUCACCUUGUCCUCCUCCCGGACCAUGUACUGAGCCACUUUGAAGGAGCUCAGGUACUCGUUCAUGUUCUGCACGUCCGUGUCGUCGGUGGCGUCUUGACUGCGGUCCAGCAGCCUCU
This is a long non-coding RNA of Oryzias melastigma (Indian medaka), 518 nucleotides long. RefSeq lists it as uncharacterized. The transcript is spliced from 3 exons. NCBI's taxonomy places the organism in Eukaryota, Metazoa, Chordata, Actinopteri, Beloniformes, Adrianichthyidae. The record is from RefSeq and is a predicted model, not a curated record.